UACGGAGGGAGCUAGCGUUGUUCGGAAUUACUGGGCGUAAAGCGCACGUAGGCGGCUUUGUAAGUUAGAGGUGAAAGCCCGGGGCUCAACUCCGGAACUGCCUUUAAGACUGCAUCGCUUGAAUCCAGGAGAGGUGAGUGGAAUUCCGAGUGUAGAGGUGCAAUUCGUAGAUAUUCGGAAGAACACCAGUGGCGAAGGCGGCUCACUGGACUGGUAUUGACGCUGAGGUGCGAAAGCGUGGGGAGCAAACAGG
Molecule: ribosomal RNA, 253 nt
Filed under: uncultured bacterium
Lineage: Bacteria
Description: partial 16S ribosomal RNA
Rfam family: Bacterial small subunit ribosomal RNA
Source: RNAcentral